This 78-nucleotide transfer RNA is filed under the name Heliconius melpomene (postman butterfly). Its description in RNAcentral is "tRNA HMEL004878". It matches the Rfam family "tRNA". From Rfam's summary of the family: Transfer RNA (tRNA) molecules are approximately 80 nucleotides in length. Their secondary structure includes four short double-helical elements and three loops (D, anti-codon, and T loops). Further hydrogen bonds mediate the characteristic L-shaped molecular structure. tRNAs have two regions of fundamental functional importance: the anti-codon, which is responsible for specific mRNA codon recognition, and the 3' end, to which the tRNAs corresponding amino acid is attached (by aminoacyl-tRNA synthetases). tRNAs cope with the degeneracy of the genetic code in two manners: having more than one tRNA (with a specific anti-codon) for a particular amino acid; and 'wobble' base-pairing, i.e. permitting non-standard base-pairing at the 3rd anti-codon position. The record is from RNAcentral. Lineage: Eukaryota; Metazoa; Arthropoda; Insecta; Lepidoptera; Nymphalidae.
GAACGUAUGGCUUAGUGGUCAUAGCGCUUUGAAGUUUUCCAAGCGCUAUGACCACAGGUUCAAAUCCGGUUACGUUAA